UACGUAGGGUGCAAGCGUUGUCCGGAAUUAUUGGGCGUAAAGAGUUCGUAGGCGGUUUGUCGCGUCCGUUGUGAAAGCUUGGGGCUCUACCCCAGGUCUGCAGUGGAUACGGGCAGGCUAGAGUCAGGUAGGGGAGAACGGAAUUCCUGGUGUAGCGGUGAAAUGCGCAGAUAUCAGGAAGAACACCCGUGGCGAAGGCGGCUCUCUGGGACGUGACUGACGCUGAGACGCGAAAGCGUGGGGAGCGAACAGG
Molecule: ribosomal RNA, 253 nt
Filed under: uncultured bacterium
Lineage: Bacteria
Description: partial 16S ribosomal RNA
Rfam family: Bacterial small subunit ribosomal RNA
Source: RNAcentral